This 1089-nucleotide long non-coding RNA is filed under the name Homo sapiens (human). RNAcentral's name for it is "HSALNT0362000". Lineage: Eukaryota; Metazoa; Chordata; Mammalia; Primates; Hominidae. The record is from RNAcentral.
AUUACACAUAUACAUAUAUAUGAACAAUUUAAAGUUUACUCAAGAAUGUGUAUUUUUUCUACAUUAUAAAAUGUGGUAUUGGGUUCUAGGAAAUUAUUUCAAACUACACGAUCAUUUGAAGAAGAUAGCUCUUAGGAAAAAAGAGAUGAUCUCCUCUAACUUCUUAGAACCACUGCACUGCCAAAUGGGGAUUUAUUUCUAUUGCCUCAUCCAAGUCAGUUCCAAAGCUUAACUCUUCCAUGAAGUUUUCCAUGAUCAAUCCUGCCUAAGAGAACAGGAACAAACCAGAGAAAAUUAUAUGUGUGAGAAUGGAAUAAGGGCUAUCAGAAGAUAGAAAUUUUGACAUAUUUCUGGAAGAUGGAAGCAUAAAGCAGACUGGAAGAAGCUCUAAUCCAGAAAACAUACAGAAGCCUUCAACGGAUGUGUGGGCUGCUCUUCCUGAGAGAACCAUAAGAAGAUUCCAAGCUUGGCAACGGCAGGUAUGGGGACCAGCAAUAGGAAAUAAGGUGAUAAAAAUGCUACUUCCCUUGUAAAGAGAAAGGGCAGCUGCCUACAAAACAACAGUGAUCUUCUAAGGUGUGAGCAAAAGAAAAUGUAUUGUGCAAUAAAUCUAUGAAGCAAGGAGUUAUUUCAGGACUACUUGAUGACGCCAAAUGUGGUCUUUUGAAGGUUCACAGGUGCUGUGAUGUCUUUCACAGGCAAUGGAUAAAGCAUCCUGCAUUGUCCUAGGCACACUCUGUAGGGAAGAUAUGGGAAUCUGAAGUCAACUUUGCCAAAAUUGUGAGGAUUGCUAAUGUGAGAUGAGAAUCUACUCACAAACAUUAAGAAGGUAACAUGAUGAGUGAAGUAAAGGGGCUGCUACUAAGAGAAAGCAUGCUCUCAGAUAACCGUUUUCAGAUAACGUCGAGAAAGUGAGAGUAUACACAGAUCAACAUGAUGGUCCACUUAACGGGGGAAGAGAGUAAAAUGUUGGUGUCACUGACAAGGAUGGCAACAUUUAAAUGUUCAGAUCCUUACAGGAGAAGCAUUGCAGUCACUUGACAAUCUCAAGCUAUGUGUUUCUUCAGUGCUUCUUGAAAACAUUUAUAA